CUCGUAGGCGGCUUGUCGCGUCUGCUGUGAAAACCCGGAGCUCAACUCCGGGCCUGCAGUGGGUACGGGCAGGCUAGAGUGCGGUAGGGGAGAUUGGAAUUCCUGGUGUAGCGGUGGAAUGCGCAGAUAUCAGGAGGAACACCGAUGGCGAAGGCAGAUCUCUGGGCCGCUACUGACGCUGAGGAGCGAAAGCGUGGGGAGCGAACA
Molecule: ribosomal RNA, 207 nt
Filed under: uncultured bacterium
Lineage: Bacteria
Description: partial 16S ribosomal RNA
Rfam family: Bacterial small subunit ribosomal RNA
Source: RNAcentral